CGGGACGGGGUGGAGUAAUGUCUGGGAAACGUGCCUGAUGGAGGGGGGUAACUACUGGAAACGGGGGCUAAUACCGCAUAACGUCGCAAGACCAAAGAGGGGGACCGUUCGGGCCUCUUGCCAUCGGAUGUGCCCAGAUGGGAUUAGCUAGUAGGUGGGGUAACGGCUCACCUAGGCGACGAUCCCUAGCUGGUCUGAGAGGAUGACCAGCCACACUGGAACUGAGACACGGUCCAG
This 237-nucleotide ribosomal RNA is filed under the name uncultured bacterium. RNAcentral describes it as "partial 16S ribosomal RNA". It matches the Rfam family "Bacterial small subunit ribosomal RNA", at positions 104 to 334 of the family's 1533-position model. The record is from RNAcentral.